AUGAACGCUGGCGGCGUGCCCAAUACAUGCAAGUCGAGCGAACAGACGAGGAGCUUGCUCCUCUGACGUUAGCGGCGGACGGGUGAGUAACACGUGGAUAACCUACCUAUAAGACUGGGAUAACUUCGGGAAACCGGAGCUAAUACCGGAUAAUAUAUUGAACCGCAUGGUUCAAUAGUGAAAGACGGUUUUGCUGUCACUUAUAGAUGGAUCCGCGCCGCAUUAGCUAGUUGGUAAGGUAACGGCUUACCAAGGCAACGAUGCGUAGCCGACCUGAGAGGGUGAUCGGCCACACUGGAACUGAGACACGGUCCAGACUCCUACGGGAGGCAGCAGUAGGGAAUCUUCCGCAAUGGGCGAAAGCUUGACGGAGCAACGCCGCGUGAGUGAUGAAGGUCUUCGGAUCGUAAAACUCUGUUAUUAGGGAAGAACAAAUGUGUAAGUAACUAUGCACGUCUUGACGGUACCUAAUCAGAAAGCCACGGCUAACUACGUG
This 496-nucleotide ribosomal RNA is filed under the name uncultured bacterium. RNAcentral describes it as "partial 16S ribosomal RNA". It matches the Rfam family "Bacterial small subunit ribosomal RNA", at positions 29 to 507 of the family's 1533-position model. The record is from RNAcentral.